CCAGACUCCUACGGGAGGCAGCAGUGAGGAAUAUUGGUCAAUGGCCGGGAGGCUGAACCAGCCAAGUCGCGUGAGGGAAGACGGCCCUACGGGUUGUAAACCUCUUUUGUCAGGGAGCAAGGUGCAGGUCGGGACCUGCUGUGAGAGUACCUGAAGAAAAAGCAUCGGCUAACUCCGUGCCAGCAGCCGCGGUAAUACGGAGGAUGCGAGCGUUAUCCGGAUUUAUUGGGUUUAAAGGGUGCGUAGGCGGAAUGCCAAGUCAGCGGUAAAAUCGCGGGGCUCAACCUCGCUCCGCCGUUGAAACUGGCGUUCUUGAGUGGGCGAGAAGUAUGCGGAAUGCGUGGUGUAGCGGUGAAAUGCAUAGAUAUCACGCAGAACUCCGAUUGCGAAGGCAGCAUACCGGCGCCCAACUGACGCUGAAGCACGAAAGCGUGGGUAUCGAACAGGAUUAGAUACCCCAGUA
RNAcentral lists this ribosomal RNA (463 nucleotides) under uncultured bacterium. RNAcentral describes it as "bacterial SSU rRNA". It matches the Rfam family "Bacterial small subunit ribosomal RNA", at positions 331 to 792 of the family's 1533-position model. The record is from RNAcentral.